UACGAAGGGGCUAGCGUUGCUCGGAAUCACUGGGCGUAAAGAGUGCGUAGGCGGGUCUUUUAAGUCAGGGUGAAAUCCUGGAGCUCAACUCCAGAACUGCCUUUGAUACUGAGGAUCUUGAGUUCGGGAGAGGUGAGUGGAACUGCGAGUGUAGAGGUGAAAUUCGUAGAUAUUCGCAAGAACACCAGUGGCGAAGGCGGCUCACUGGCCCGAUACUGACGCUGAGGCACGAAAGCGUGGGGAGCAAACAGGG
Molecule: ribosomal RNA, 253 nt
Filed under: uncultured bacterium
Lineage: Bacteria
Description: partial 16S ribosomal RNA
Rfam family: Bacterial small subunit ribosomal RNA
Source: RNAcentral